AAGUCGUAACAAGGUUUCCGUAGGUGAACUUGCGGAAGGAUCAUUAUUGAAUAAACUUGAACAGGCUGUUUGCUGGCCCUCCUCUCAAGGGAGGGUAUGUGCACGCUUGUCAUCUUUAUCUCUCCAACUGUGCACAUGCUGUAGAUCUGGGAGCCAUUUUGUAUUCUCGGAUAGAUUGAGGAAUUGCUGUACCCAAGUGUCGGCUUUGCCUUGCGUUUCCAGAUCUAUGUUUUUUUUCUUCACAAUCUCUGAAUGUGUCUAGAAUGUUGAAUCGAAUAAUAAAUCAUAUACAACUUUCAGCAACGGAUCUCUUGGCUCUCGCAUCGAUGAAGAACGCAGCGAAAUGCGAUAAGUAAUGUGAAUUGCAGAAUUCAGUGAAUCAUCGAAUCUUUGAACGCAUCUUGCGCUCCUUGGUAUUCCGAGGAGCAUGCCUGUUUGAGUGUCAUUUGAGUUCUCAAACCAUGCUGAUUUUAUCGGCGUGGCUUUGGAUAUGGGGNUUUUUGNUUGCGGGCUUCUGAAAAAUGAAGUCGGCUCCCCUGAAAUGCAUUAGUGGUAUCUGAGCAGAGACUACUUACAGGUGUGAUAAAUUAUCUAUCUAUGCCUCGGUAUGCUGNAUGAAACAGAUUGNACCGCUCAUANCAAGUGGAAAUUUGACAAGUUUGACCUCAAAUCAGGUAGGACUACCCGCUGAACUUAAGCAUNUCANUAAGCGGAGGAAAAGAAACUANCAAGGAUUCCCCUAGUAACUGCGAGUGAAGCGGGAAAAGCUCAAAUUUGAANUCUGGCGGUUCUUGACCGUCCGAGUUGUAAUCUAGAGAAGUGUUACCUGUGCUGGACCGUGUAAAAGUCUCCUGGAAUGGAGCAUCAUAGAGGGUGAGAAUCCCGUCUUUGACACGGACAACCUGUGCGUUCUGGUGCGCUCUCAAAGAGUCGAGUUGUUUGGGAAUGCAGCUCAAAAUGGGUGGUAAAUGCCAUCUAAAGCUAAAUAUUGGCGAGAGACCGAUAGCGAACAAGUACCGUGAGGGAAAGAUGAAAAGCACUUUGGAAAGAGAGUUAAACAGUACGUGAAAUUGCUGAAAGGGAAACGCUUGAAGUCAGUCACGUUGGCUAGAAAUCAGCCUUGCUUCUGCUUGGUGUACUUUCUGGUCGACGGGUCAGCAUCAAUUUCGACCGCUGGACAAAGUCUUUGGGAAUGUGGCAUCCUCGGAUGUGUUAUAGCCCAUCGUCGCAUGCAGCGGUUGGGAUUGAGGAACUCAGCACGCCGCAAGGCCGGGUUUCGACCACGUUCGUGCUUAGGAUGCUGGCAUAAUGGCUUUAAUCGACC
Molecule: ribosomal RNA, 1324 nt
Filed under: uncultured fungus
Lineage: Eukaryota; Fungi
Description: eukaryotic LSU rRNA
Rfam family: Eukaryotic large subunit ribosomal RNA (bases 661-1324)
Source: RNAcentral